RNAcentral lists this ribosomal RNA (465 nucleotides) under uncultured bacterium. RNAcentral describes it as "partial 16S ribosomal RNA". It matches the Rfam family "Bacterial small subunit ribosomal RNA", at positions 338 to 795 of the family's 1533-position model. The record is from RNAcentral.
CCUACGGGCGGCAGCAGUGGGGAAUUUUGGACAAUGGGCGCAAGCCUGAUCCAGCUAUUCCGCGUGUGGGAUGACGGCCCUCGGGUUGUAAACCACUUUAGUAGAGAACGAAAAGGAACUAUCGAGUAAAUAGCUAUGCUGACGGUACACUAAGGAUAAGCACCGGCUAACUACGUGCCAGCAGCCGCGGUAAUACGUAGGGUGCGAGCGUUAAGCGGAAUUACUGGGCGUAAGGGGUGUGCAGGCGGCUGAGUAAGACAGAGGUGAAAUCCCCGGGCUUAACCUGGGAACCGCAUAUGUGACUGCGUGGCUAGAGUGCGUCAGAGGGAGGUGGAAUUCCACGUGUAGCAGUGAAAUGCGUAGAUAUCACGCAGAACUCCGAUUGCGAAGGCAGCAUACCGGCGCCCAACUGACGCUGAAGCACGAAAGCGUGGGUAUCGAACAGGAUUAGAUACCCUAGUAGUC